This 550-nucleotide ribosomal RNA is filed under the name uncultured bacterium. Its description in RNAcentral is "bacterial SSU rRNA". It matches the Rfam family "Bacterial small subunit ribosomal RNA", at positions 113 to 665 of the family's 1533-position model. The record is from RNAcentral.
AUGCUUGGGAACUUGCCUUUGCGAGGGGGAUAACAGUUGGAAACGACUGCUAAUACCGCAUAAUGUCUUCGGACCAAACGGGGCUUCGGCUCCGGCGCAAAGAGAGGCCCAAGUGAGAUUAGCUAGUUGGUAAGGUAAAGGCUUACCAAGGCAACGAUCUCUAGCUGUUCUGAGAGGAAGAUCAGCCACACUGGGACUGAGACACGGCCCAGACUCCUACGGGAGGCAGCAGUGGGGAAUAUUGCACAAUGGGGGAAACCCUGAUGCAGCCAUGCCGCGUGUGUGAAGAAGGCCUUCGGGUUGUAAAGCACUUUCAGUUGUGAGGAAAAGUUAGUAGUUAAUACCUGCUAGCCGUGACGUUNACAACAGAAGAAGCACCGGCUAACUCCGUGCCAGCAGCCGCGGUAAUACGGAGGGUGCGAGCGUUAAUCGGAAUUACUGGGCGUAAAGCGCACGCAGGCGGUUUGUUAAGCUAGAUGUGAAAGCCCCGGGCUCAACCUGGGAUGGUCAUUUAGAACUGGCAGACUAAAGUCUUGGAGAGGGGAGUGGA